UUUUUUUUUGGUUGUUAAACCCGUAGCUCUGCACAGAGAAAUCUGGUGUGAAUUCCUCUUUUCACUCCAUAAAUUCAGACUGAAAUUAGAUCGAAUAGUAGGGCUUACUCAUUUCCUUGUGUUCUUACACUCCUUUUCGUCUGUUUUAUGCUCAUAGUUCUUGUUGUGUUUGAGCCCACAAAGCAGUGAGUGACUGCAGAGUGGGGUGUGCCACUGGGAGAGCACCUUUGGGGUGACACCCAAAUAUUAUUCCACUCUCAGUGACAACAAUCAGACAGCAGGAAAUCCUGUAACAGUAAAGCAAAUGCAGCUGAACAUCCCCAGAGUUAAUUUUUUUUUUUUUUGGGGGUGGCAAGACAUAAUUUUACAUUUUCAUGAUGUUAUAAUGAUUACCCAGGGUAUCUCUCUUGGGCACAACUCAGAGCCCAUCAUUCCCCCAGUGCAUAAUUUGACAUUUCUCUGUUGAAUCUCAGGGGCCCUUUUAUUGCCCAGUUACUGAACCUUUUGUUCAAAUCUACAAUUCUUCACUGCCAGGGCCCGAGGGUGACAAUCUGCUGCUCAGCAUCAUCAGGAAAUGUUAACAACUGAUAACUCCAGUCCUUUUCCCAGAUGUUAUAAAUGUGCUGGACAGCAAAGUUCCAACCUCCAAGCCUUAUGCAGCCACUGUUAAAUUCCCUCAAGGUUAAAGAUGAACUUGCACUCUGACCUUGUUUUGCACUUUAGCCUAUUAUUUCUCCUCUCAUGUACCUUCCUUCUUAUCUCACAUCACAAGAGGAUGUGCAGAGCAGGAAAUAUCCUGUGAGACACUUACAAACAGGCAGCUGGAGCUGUAAACACAGAGAUUCAAUAAUUAUUGGUGCUUGUGUGCAUGCUUAAUGUACGGAUAAAAUGGGUAAUCAAUCAGAAACUGUGAUGCAUGACAGAUGAGAGCAGAUAAGAAAAGAAGGGAAAUGGAGAGUUGUAGCUUGGCCCCUCUGAUUAUAGAAAGAAAAUAAGACUUUCAGUGCUGCUUAUCAGUCACACUAGAAUUCUUCUGAGCUCAGAUGCAACACUGGAUAAAUGUAUUUCCAAAGCAAAGCCAAUCUUGAAUCAGAUCCAGGUUAAAAAAAAAAAAAAAAAAACAAACCCAAAAAAGCCCAACCUACCUAGGCCCUUUGAAAAAUACUCUGGAAAAACUGCCAUAUUUGAGCACAUGUUUUAAUGACAGCUAGUACUGGCAUCUAGAUACUUUCUAGAACUACAAAGAGAGUUCCUUUCAGUGCUUUGAUGCCACAUGUGGGACUAAAGGCUGUAUUAAUUCACUACCAAGUGGUUUUGGGAGCAUCUUAGAAUAGCCAAACCCAACUAGAAUGGGUUUUGUUCUGGGGUGUUCUAGAAAGUUGACUUGUUCCGCUCCUAAGGGUUAAUAUUAAUUAUUUAUUUUCCAGCUUUGUCCCUUACUCGCUACUGACAUUCCCAUGAGCAGUCAAAACCAAGUUUCUUUCCUCUUAGAUAUCUUCUCUAAACAUCAAUGUCAACUUUUAUUCAGACAUUUCUUUUGAAGAAACCAUUACUCUUUGCAUUUUACCCCAAAUGAUAUCAUUUGUAUUUAAAAAUGUCAAAACUUCUGCAGGGAAUCCCUGCCCUAUAAUUAGAUCUUUUCUAAGAUGUCAGCACUCAUUAGUGCUGCAGCACAGACAGAAUGGUACAGUUAUCACAGUUUGAAGUGAUAAUGCUUUUGCUAGCAUUUGAUUAUUUAAAAAGUCCCUUUUGUUAAUAUUCUCUGUUUCUAGAUUAAUAUUCUCUGGCUUGGAGGCAUUUAAACAAAUUUUCUUGAAUCAAAUAUCUAAAUAAGAACCAUCUUCUCAGUUCGCCCCUUGACCUUCAUGUGAGCAGGGUUAGGUUCUAUUAGCUGCAUUUUUAGGAAAAACUGAUGGUUAAAGCUUUUAGCUUUGAGAGGAAACAAAUUCCUACUGAAAUACAAAAUCUGCUGCCUCCACUUCCAACCAGUAUUUAAUUCUUGCACCUUUCAGUCAGUUCCCACACUGUCGUGUACAAAUGCAAUGCAGCUUACAUGUGUAAUUGAAUUAAUGUGAAACUCUCAUCAAAUAAAAAGCUGCCUCUAGUCAGACUUCAGAAGAGAGGCCUUGCUGGAGCUGCAAAGAUAGAAAGUGGAACACUUGCUCUGAAAUACUUGAGUUUUCUCUCAAGGUGUUAUUUUCUCACAUAUCUGAAUCUCAGACUUCUCUACCACAUCGAAGGAUGUCUGACACAGAUCUACCCAAUCCUUCUCUAACACCAUGAACCCCAUUUACAAUAUUCUCAUUUUAAUUUAAAAGCUGCUCCUGAGGAAAAAAGCCCUGCCUUUUAUCAUGGCAGUUUUGCUGUGACUGUGAUGUUUCCUCCACCAUUCCUUACAGAAAUUGGAUAGCCUACAGGUGCAUCAUAAUGAAAAGGAGCUCUGUGCAGUCUAUCUCCAGGUUUUCCAACAAGGUGACACUGAAAGACUUUAAUUUUUAAGUUGUAUAAAAUUGGCUUCCUUACUGAGCUCCAAGGUAUGAAACAGUUCGUGUUUUGACAGCUUAUUUAACAGGCUUUGCUGGCUUCACAGGCAGUUUUGUCUUUGGCCAGGAAACAAAGAAACCAGGGACAAUCAGUUCCAGGAUGGAGGAACGAGCUGAAAUAAUUAAAUAAGAAAUAGUAAUGAUUCAUACACUAAGGAGAAAGGGAAAAAUGCCCAUAAUUUUUAAUUUAAAAAAUAAGUAAUUUCAAAUUUCUGCUUUGCUAUCCCCAGCUUCACACUAUGGUUUAGUGAUUGUUUAAAGGCUGGAUUCAGUCUUGGAGGCCUUUUCCAACACUAAUGAUUGCUGUGGUUCUAAAUGUUCAAUAGCUGUACUUAAAUCAGCAAAGCACAAUGGAAGGACCCUUUUGAUGUUUACAUGAGGUAAUAGGAUGAUAUUUCCAUGCUGUAUAAUUGCAGAAAAUAUAUUUACAACAGGUUGAAUCAUUGAUUAAUUUGAAAAGCAUACGUUGACCUUUCUUAGCUAAUCAAUUCCUUCUAAAAAUAAAAAUAGAUUUUUUUAAAAACUAAGAAUAAGGUCUCUUACAAAAGUACUGAAUCCAAAUUCAACAACAUGACAGGUUCAUGCAGAUAGCACAGGGGGAAAAAAGCAUAUCGGAAUCCAAAGUUCUACUUCAAUUUGCAUCUUUUGUGCAAUUUCCACUUAAAAAGCUCAAUUCCAUUAAACAGAGCCAACACUUGCUCAUUAAGUACUGCCAGGUAUGAGAAACUUGGGAAAUAACUGAGACUCUUAUGAAAGAUUACAAUGAAAUAAUGUGGGAUCAUUCACAUUCCUGAGCAUCGCUGUUCAAAUCCCCCUGCUGUCAUUGUCACACGCCACGCAAGGUUUAUAAUGAACUGGUAAACAAAUGUUAGUUAGGAAUUUCUUGGAAGUUUGAAGAACAGGAAGGGUUUAGUGAUCUGUGACAAACACUCUGCUAAGCCACGUGUCCUUUUUGUGGCAGGAUUUAUUCUGGUGCAGCUUCAGGAGGAUCCCUGAUGUGGAUCCAAGCUGGCUCAUGCAUUAAAGACUAAACUCAGCUGUAACUUGAACAGCUCCACACAGUUAUAUCAGGCUGUAAAUGUGGCUGACAUGCCAUAAAACAUUU
Molecule: long non-coding RNA, 3648 nt
Organism: Taeniopygia guttata (zebra finch)
Lineage: Eukaryota; Metazoa; Chordata; Aves; Passeriformes; Estrildidae
Source: Ensembl